RNAcentral lists this long non-coding RNA (2823 nucleotides) under Homo sapiens (human). RNAcentral's name for it is "HSALNT0147953". The record is from RNAcentral. Lineage: Eukaryota; Metazoa; Chordata; Mammalia; Primates; Hominidae.
CUUCACUUUCCCAUAAGAAGUGUAUGAUCUAAUGAAACCAGGCUCCUCAUAUGUAUGGUUAACCAUGAUACAAACUGUAGCUCACUUCCCCAUGAACUUACACUUUUUUUCCUUUUUAUUUUAUUCUAUUUUCUAGAGAUGAGUUUCGCCAUAUUGCCCAGGCUGGUCUCAAACUCCUGAGCUCAAACAAUCUGCUGACCUCGGCCUUCCACAUACUGGGAUUACAGGCGUUAGCCACCACACACGGGCAACUUACCUUAAGAUCAAGCCUCAUUUAAGAUUUUCAAAAAAUUGGAAGAUAGAAUAUUAGAUUUUGUCAUAUUUUUCUAAUAAUAAAUCAGAGAAGCCAGUGAUUGAUUAAAUAAAUAAAUAACAAUGGACUCCAGGUUCUUCAGUUUUGGAACUCGGACUGGCUCUUCUUCCUCCUCAGCCUGCAGACUGCCUACUGUGGGACCUCACAAUCAUGUAUUCCAUCUUGAAGAAAAGAAGCAAGAAAGGAAGAAAAUAUAAACAAAUGACUAUUUCCUCCCCCUCAAAGAAGUUGAAUUUAAAAAGGAACACUCUCCCCACUCCCUUUCUACUUGGGAUACUCCAUGGACAGUGUCAAGGCACAGAGACAAUGAAGGUUUCUGGUCAGGGCUACACGUGGUGAAGCUGAAAAGUGUUCGUGCAGAAGUGCCUUACCACCAUCACCCAUUCAGAAUGCAGCAGUUGCACACCAAGCUUCUAAGGAUGCAAGAGUAUCAGCCAAUGAUACCCAGACACCUCCACGAUUCUCCUUUAGACUUCGCUGGACGUCAGUUCCUUAUGGACAUCCUCUUCUCCCUGAGUCCCAUCCUCCAGCUAUGCCCAACAAUUUAAGUACCAUAACCCAAGACAAUGACUCAGAGCAUCCCCUGACAAGCCAACAACCUUAGGAAUGGUCAGUUCUAUGCCCAGGGUAGCAGAAAGUAGUUGGAAGAUGAGACCUCUACCCAAAUAGCACAGAUUUGUCACUGUUGUUCUGUCAGGAGGGAAAUGUGUAGCCCUAAGGAGUUAAAAGAAAAUUGAAAAAUGGGUUUUGCUGGCAGGAACAGAAACAGGGUAGAGGGGAGCAAAUGUUCUAAGAAACAGGGUCAACCUCAAAUGGCUCACUAGCAUCUAAGCAUCCUUUUACAAGCACCUAGCUCACAGCCCACCUGCAUGCUGUCUGCAAGUACUCAGCUUAAGCAGCACGACCUUAAAAAAUUUUCCUCCAGCCCCUGCCUCUUUGCAGGCAGCUUUCCCUCUGCUGUCUUGCCUACUGCUCUCUUGCAACAUAUUUUCCCCUUUUCUCGAAACAAAUCUGCCUUUCUAAACUCAUUACUGUCUUAGUAAAUUCUUUUAUCACCUAUGUGCCGGCCUCAGACACUCAGUGACCACCACAGCAUAUGCAUGUAUUAUGUAUAUGUAUGUAUCUUGUGUAUAUUUGUAUCUUAUGUAUUUAUGACAUUAUAUAAUCUUGCAUAUAUACCUAAUAAAUAUACAGUAAGUACUCACUUAGUGUCAUCAAUGGGUCUUGGAAACUGUGACUUUAAGUGAAGUGUUGUAUAAUGAAACGAAUUUACUACAGGCUGAUUGAUAUAAAGAAGAGUCAAGUUACUCCGGCAUAUUUCUAGUCAAAAAACAUCAUGAAACUUCUAAAUAAAGGUGAAAGCCUUCUAAUAUUUAACACUGAAAUAAAUGGGAGCUAUACAUAUAUUUAAGAAAGAUAAAUAAAAGCAAGUAGGAUGAUUAUUUACCCAAUUAUUUCAGUUCAGAAUUGUGGGUGGCCAGAGCCUAACCAGGCAAUUCGAGACACAAGAGAAACCAAUCCUGGACAGGACACUAUCCCAUUGCAGAGUAUACUCUCACACACUUCCACAUUCUUACAUGUGGGGACAAUUUAGACACUCGUCCAAUUAACUGAAUGUGCAUAUCUUUGGGAUGUGGAAGGAAAUAUAAGUACUUGGGUAAUGCCCAUGCAAAGAUAAGGAGAAGGUUCAAACUUCACGAAGACAGUGGCCACAGCUGAAGACGAUAUUUUUUAUCAUAAACAUUCUAUCUUAAUAACGUUGAACAAUAUGAGGUUGAGGACCUGCUGUAUAUAUUUUAUAAAUAUAAGUAUAUAAACACACACAUGUGCACUUAUAUAUGCACACACAAAAACACGUACACACAUACACACUUACAGCUUAUAAACCAAAGUCAACAUCUAAAAUCCUGAAUCCUUUCCCAAUCAAUGCCACUGAUUACCAGCAGAGCCUAAUAUUUUUUUCCUGAUGUUAGCUUAGCUAAUAAUAUCUCAAUUAAUAAGAAAGGAAAGGAAAGAAAGCCAUUUUGUAACCAAGAGAUUUUUCAAAGUUUUGAUAAUUUUUCUUUGACUUUCUAAAAGUAAACAGAAUAAAAUCUGUCUUAACAGUCUCAUUACUAAAAUGUCUUAAUAGCCUCAUAAGCCAUGUGAUGUUCCACAUAAGCUGUCUCCAGUUUAUUCCCUUUCAUCCUGCCCUGCAUUCACUAACCUCAGAAAUGCUUGACAUAAACGAAAUUCAACCCCUACUAAGAGUUUUUGCAGCCCCAUUUCCUUCAUUUUCCACCCUAUCCCUCCAAUUUUAAGGCUGUCCCCAAAUUUUAAUAUUACCUUCUCAUGGAGAUCUUUUGCAAUCACCUUGGUAAAAGCAAUACACCCAGGGAUUUCCUAUAACACUAUACUAUUUGACUUACACAACAUUAAUUAAGAUGUAAAGUAAUCUUAAUUCACGUAUCUAUCAUCUGUAUUGACAAUAAAGGAUAACUGAGUAAUUUUUUUAAGAAUGGUCUCUUUAU